CAGGAAGAGAGGCUGUGCGCGCGAGGGAGAGCCGAAGCCCAUGUGCGCAGGUGGGCAACACCCGUUUCCACCGCAUUGUCAGCCGGUGGUGGCUGCAGACAUGCAUUUGGGGCGGGGAAAAGAAGAGGGAACAGGACAGCAGAUGGGAGGCCGGCAUCCAAGAGCCAACAGCGAGUUCGGGAUGGCUCUGGGUACGUGUGUGUCGUGGGUGCCAGUCUGUCUUUCUCAACCUCAGAGAUUACGGUUUACGACUUGAUAUCUUCCUUUGGCUGGAUGGAAGUGAAGACUGCGAGAGAGCGUGAAUCGAGGGAGGGAAAAUCAGAUGGCAGUGUGAAAACCAAAUACAAACAUUGGUAGAAGUUUUUUUUUUUGCUCUCUAUGAGAAAAUGAAGACAGUGUACACAUGACUAGGCUCGGGGAACUUGAGAAACCACAGGACUGAAGCAUUGAUGAUAUUUUAUCAGCACUGGAAAAUAUCUGUAGGAGGAAACCUUUCGUUUUGCCUUCUAUAAAAAAUGUUUUGUAAAUUUGGCUUCUGUAACUAUGACAGUGAAGAACUGUUAACGGAAGCUGAAAAAGGCAUCACCGGGAAGCAUGGCUUACUGAGAAUGGGCUCCUCUGGAGUUUUCACGAAGCUAAAUAGGUCUGAAAAGAGGAUUGCACGAUGCUACUCCAAACUCAGUGACUUCAGCAUGCUCUCAUCAAAGUCUCAUCUGGUCUCGAAGUGAGGAGAGGGAGGAGAGAUGAUCUGCAUGGUCAUCUCCAUCUGCAUCAUCUAUCAGCAUCAUCUAUCAGCUUCAUCUGAGUCCCCUUCAGGAAGUGAGGGCAGCUGAAUGUCAACUCGCGAAGCAUCCCUGACCUGCUCUCGAGUUGCCAUAGGCAAGCGGGAUGGGGAAUUGAACCUCGCAGCUGCAUCAAGGAACUUGCAUUUCAGUCAAAACAAAGCACAUUCCAGCUGGCGAUGUCAAGAUCAUCUCCACGGGAACCCACAGUGGCUGGAGGGAGUGACUUUUACAACCCGCGGAAUUGCUUCGUUGGAGAAUGUGACUGAUGACACCUCUUGGGGGAGGGGGAAACAGGGUCAGAGGCAAAGUGCUAAUUAAGUGAGAUCAGAGUUGGCUCCAUUUGGUCUGUGCCGACAUGAAGUUCCUAAUAAAUCAGGGUUUCCUUUGAAGCUUGGCCUGAGGCUCAUGAUUUAAUUAGGGCAUUAGUCAGAACCCUGACAUUACUGUUAAUAUGAUCAUUCUCAGAAUACAAUAAAAAUAGUAUCUUAAAUCCAAGAGCAAACAUUCUUUGCUUGGCCUUCUUAAUUAUGCUAAAAUGUUUUUUCAAUUUAAAUAAUUAUCUUAUUAAAAUUUUCUAAUCUUUGGUGUUGCUGUUGAACAAAUUGAAUUUGUUCUUCACCUAUUUUCUUGUCAAUUACUUGCGUGUUUGGGAUCACUGCCAGCUUUAUCUGAGGGACAGAUACAAUUUCAUUUGAGCCAUGAGUAGGCAGGAAAGUCAUAUGACAUACUAUUAAUAUUUUUAAUUCUUCAUUUCACUUUGCAUAAAUGCACCAAACCUGCUCAGGAGAAAAGACAAAAAUAUGGCAAAGAAUAACUGUUUAUAAAAGCAAUGAGUACAAGUGUUAUUCAUACAAUCAAUAACAACAUUUCAACUAUUAUAUUUACUGCUGUAGGAAGGAGAAUCCAUCUGGUUCAGUUCCAAGCUGGGAGAAAGACAUUGGAAAUAACAUGGAGGCUGAUUGGAAAGAAAGUUUCUGUUUAUUGGUGAACAGAACCAACACAAACACAGUUCUGGGUCAGCUGACCAAUUGGUUUGGUUUCUACAUGGAUUUUUAUAUAGUUUUUACAGCAUUUUGUAAUCUAGGGGCUUGCUUUGUGUGAUUUAUUAUUUGAUUGGUUUUACUUGCUUCGCAAAGGCUCAUGAUGGGUCUUAAUUAUUAGUUCCUUAGUCCUAAUCCUGGCAGGCAUGUGUAAUUGAUUUUAUCCUGUUAUCUAUUGCCUCUAGCCUGCCUUUUGAAAUGGACCAGUACUGUUUCCACUUUUCUUAAUGAAUGGAGUUAAGAUCAUGUCCUGUUCUUUCUUAAUCCCAUCUUAAUUUCUAAAGGAGUUUAUGAAUAGAUUGGCUCAGACUUUCUUAAUGGGCCCAAAAUAUCUGCUGUGGGCUAUUAAGACUGAGUCUGCUUUCUGUCUUUAACAGCAUGUUUCUCCAUUUCUUCUGUAGAAAGUUAGCACCCACUCCCUCCUAGAAGAAUGAAAUAUUCUAGUAAAUAUUAAAAAGGCAGAAUAUUAUAUUUCCCUGGAUGAGAAAAGGAGAAACAUGUUUUUAAAGACAAAGAGCAGCUCCCUGCAGCUCCCUGCCCCCAGCAGAUAUUUGGUGCCCAUUGAGCAGGACUGGGCCAGCCUAUCUACAAGACAAUUAGACCUUCAGCUCCAGGGUGAUGGGAUUAAGACAUGACCUUCCAGGACAUAAUAGGAUUAUCUAUCAGCAGAACUCACCACAUGGCACAACCAAGCCCCUUGAUUGCAUUACCCAGCAAGAUUCAACCAAACUUAUCUCAGACAACCUCAACUAUGACCCCUGCAUAGCCUCCUGUGAGUCUGACAACCUAUAGAAUAUAUUUCUUGCACAGGAACAGGAAGCUCAAGGGCAAGGCCCAAGAGAGAAUAUAAAUACCUCUCUCUUUCUCUCUCCACCAUGUGUUCAGCUGCCCAGGACCUCAAACCCAUGUGGUCCUGCUCUCCAAUAAAUCAUUUUUCCAAUCAGCCUCCAUGUUUCCAGUGUCGUUCUCCCUACUUGGAACUGAACCAGAUGGAUAUUUCUUCCUACACUCACUUUGGGGAAAUAUAAUAUUCUGCUUCUUUUAAUAUUCCAUAAAAUAUUUCAUUUUUCGGGCAGGGGGCUUCCCACACUGCAAAGGAAACAACUAUUAAACUCACAGUAUUUCAGAUUCCACUGUGAAUUUCACUGAAAUGACAUAGUAUUAAUUGUAAAAUCAAGUUUUAAUUCCAAUAAAUAUUCCUACACAAACCAAAGUACUUGAGCAUACGUACACACACUAAGAAAGGUAAUGAAACACUUAAAGGACAGACUUUGAACCUCGGCACAUUUUAUCUGCCUAAUCCAAGUAUUCUUUGCAUGAGGCAAAAGAGAAAAUGGGCCACAAGCUUCCAUGGUUAAUCUUUGAAAUAGAAACUGCACUGAAAACAAUAUGGGCUACCUCAGGACAGCAGGUUUAUUGAGGAGAGCAAAGAUAUUCCCUUACCACCAUUUCAUGUUCACUCUGCAUUUGCUGACUAAUACAGCAUGAGUUAAAAUGAUAUAUAGUCCAUUUAAAUCCCUUUAUCAGAAACAAUACUGUUGUAAAAUGAAGAAUUAAAAAUAUUUAAUUCACAAGCAGUGAUACUAUUCUAAUUCUGUAUGUGCCAUGUUUAUUCCCAAAAUAUACUUUAAGGUUGUCCAUAUCCUUCUGACGUUUGCAGUUUUGUAGCUAUUAGCUCCCUGUCUCUUGACUAUUGUAACGUAUACAACAGGGUUUCGGGUUUUCGGAUUUUAAGUUAGGCAAGAAAAACUAUGGAUUUGCAUCUGUACAAAAUAAACUUGAAAUUGUAUUAUA
Molecule: non-coding RNA, 3619 nt
Organism: Pantherophis guttatus
Lineage: Eukaryota; Metazoa; Chordata; Lepidosauria; Squamata; Colubridae
Source: RefSeq, a predicted model, not a curated record